Molecule: non-coding RNA, 24 nt
Filed under: Arabidopsis thaliana (thale cress)
Lineage: Eukaryota; Viridiplantae; Streptophyta; Magnoliopsida; Brassicales; Brassicaceae
Source: RNAcentral
AGUAGUCAUACCGCGUGUAUUUCU